UACGUAGGGUGCAAGCGUUUAUCCGGAAUUAUUGGGCGUAAAGAGCUCGUAGGCGGUUUGUCGCGUCUGCUGUGAAAACUGGAGGCUCAACCUCCAGCCUGCAGUGGGUACGGGCAGACUAGAGUGCGGUAGGGGAGAUUGGAAUUCCUGGUGUAGCGGUGGAAUGCGCAGAUAUCAGGAGGAACACCGAUGGCGAAGGCAGCACUCUGGGACGUGACUGACGCUGAGACGCGAAAGCGUGGGGAGCAAACAGG
RNAcentral lists this ribosomal RNA (254 nucleotides) under uncultured bacterium. RNAcentral describes it as "partial 16S ribosomal RNA". It matches the Rfam family "Bacterial small subunit ribosomal RNA", at positions 524 to 776 of the family's 1533-position model. The record is from RNAcentral.